Triticum urartu is the source of this 1588-nucleotide RNA transcript. RefSeq lists it as uncharacterized. Lineage: Eukaryota; Viridiplantae; Streptophyta; Magnoliopsida; Poales; Poaceae. The record is from RefSeq and is a predicted model, not a curated record.
CCCCACCCAACCCCUCGUGCCCUCCUCUCUCUCUCUCUCUCUCUCUCGGGAACCCUAGCGCUCCACUCCUCCCUUGCCGCUGCCACCUUCGGCGGGAAUCAAAGACCAUGUCCGGCGAGAUCCGGCGCGCGCAGCGAGAUCCAUCUCUCUCACACACACGAUAAGGAAAAUCCCCCGCCCCAUUCCCACGACUCAUCUGCCUCUCCCUCGAUCCCCUUCCUUCCCGAGGACGCACGCGCCGCCGCCUCCCCGAUCCCCUUCUCCCCUCGCCCCCCAUAUCGCGCCGCCAUCCACCUCGUCGCCUCCCAGAUUUAUCCUCCUCCUCCUCCUAUUCCCCUCGUCAGAUCCAUCCAUCCAUUUGUUUUUCCAUCCGAUCCACUUGACGCCAUCGCAUCCCCUUCUCGCUCGCAGGGUUGCAGGCGAUUCGAUCCGGUCCGGGUCCAUGGCGUCCACGGCCGUGGCGGCGCUCGUGCUGACCGACGAGCUGGCCCUGCCGCUCCGCGCGGUGGGGGAUGGCGGCGGGGAAGCACGCAGCUGCGCAGCGACCGCGGGAGGUUUUAGUGAGCGGCCGCAUUGCUGCGGCAGGAGGACCAGCGCGGGCUUCCGGCAACGAGGCUCCGUCGCGCGAACCAAGACGCGGACUCGACGGGAUGGCUCUGCGGGACUCUGGCGUCAGAAGCAGCGGCUGGGGCCACGCGGUGACCCUGGGACGCCCCUGCCCGAUUCUGGCGCGAAGGCAACCUCGCGCGAAUCACGGCGGCCUUGACCAAGAAGGAGGCGUUCGUGCCGCACGGCGGCCGGUGGUGAGCGUCGGUGCUGGCGAGUUUGGGUCAGUACGUCGCGACGGCGGCGAGCCUGCUCGGCGUCCCAUGAUUGGACCUUGGAGCCACGCGAAGAGAAGGGGAUCCACUCCAAACCCAGCACAGGCAACAUGGUGACUCUAGUGCCGACAUCUCCCAGUCGCGGCGCGUGUGAUCUGACUGUGUUGGGUUGGUGUCUGGUUGCAGGACAUGGUGACGAACUCACAGUUCGAGAAGAGGCCGAACCGGUUAGGCAUCGGCUGCGCGCUACCGCCCAAGAAGGACCUCCACCUGUUCGCCAACGCCGCAUCCUCAAGAAAGUGGUGAGGAGAUGUUGAUGAUGCCUACUUGCUUGGCUGCUACGGUGAUGCAUGCACCGAUGAAGCAAGCACACAUGCAAGGCUGGCCCCAUGUAUCUUCCUUGGCUGCGGACAUCAUCUACAGGAUAGCAGUAUGACCAAGACAAGCUACAAGCUCCCAGCGCGUCUGAUCCAGGGUGAAUGGCCAUGGUCACGAGCUCCUCAGGAUCAAAAUAGGAUGGCAAGUUGUGGCAGCUGGAGCAUGUCGCAUAAGAGAGAGCAAUGAAAUCCAUUGUACUGUUCUGUUAAAAAUAGUACAUUGUGAUGUUAUGAUAGUAGCAUAUGUGCGUCUUUCUUAUUAUAUAGUCCUGUGUAAGGAAAUGUAUUCCUGAGAUGAUUUUUGUGUUAUGUAAACCUGCGAGAUAUUUUCUUUUUGUGUUAUGUAAACCUAGGAGUUUUCCUAAUUUGAAUGAAAUAAUGUUGGAUGUA